UUUCCGUUGGUGAACCAGCGGAAGGAUCAUUACUGAGAUCAUGCCCUCGCGGGUAGACCUCCCACCCUGUGUAUUACACCUUUGUUGCUUUGGCAGGCCCGCCCCCCGGGGCACUCGGCUCCGGCUGAGCAGCGCCUGCCAGAGGACCCCAACCCUAAUGUUUACGUGUCGUCUGAGUACUAUAUAAUAAGUUAAAACUUUCAACAACGGAUCUCUUGGUUCUGGCAUCGAUGAAGAACGCAGC
RNAcentral lists this unclassified non-coding RNA (244 nucleotides) under uncultured fungus. Its description in RNAcentral is "sequence contains ITS1, 5.8S rRNA gene". The stretch from base 196 to 244 matches the Rfam family "5.8S ribosomal RNA", at positions 1 to 49 of the family's 154-position model. Lineage: Eukaryota; Fungi. The record is from RNAcentral.